This 1059-nucleotide long non-coding RNA is filed under the name Cairina moschata (Muscovy duck). RNAcentral describes it as "domestica (muscovy Duck (domestic type)) lncRNA (ENSCMMG00000003315.1)". Lineage: Eukaryota; Metazoa; Chordata; Aves; Anseriformes; Anatidae. The record is from RNAcentral.
AUGGACGGCAUCCUCCGCAGCGCGAUCCUGAGGGCACACGAGAGGGCUGGGGGGCAUGGGGGGCACCCACCGGAGCCCCCCCCCCCCCCAGCUCCCUGCGCUGGGAGAUCCAAGCGGGUGGCUCUAGGUGGCAGCAGCUCCCUGCGCUCUGGGGACGCAGCCAGGCCCCCCCCUUGGUCCCUUUCCACCCCCCUCCAUCCGCAGGGAUGUGGCACUGGGGGUGCAGGGAUAAGGAGGGGGGGCCCCGGGGGUGGCUGCUGCAGGAGGAACCCCCCCGGCACCGGGCUGUGGUGGCGCAGGGCGGCCACAGGCUGCGUUGGGGCUCGGUGGCUCUGCACCGAAACGCGUUGCCUUGGCCUCGUGGGUUAUUUGGGAGGCAGAGCUGCUGUCAAACCCCGCGGUGCUCAGAGGGAGAGGGGGAAGAGAAGCGAGGAAGGUGAGCUGUGCCGAUGCAGAGGAGGAAAGGAGGAGGAGGAGGAGAGGUGUUUCCCAGCGGGUCCGGGGGAGCGGAGCUGCAGCGGGUGCCGCAGGAGGAGAGCUCCGGGGAUCCUCGGCACCAUCCUGAGCGCUGAGAAACGAGGCGAGACAGCAAGACCCAGCACGUCACGGUCCUCACACGUGGCCGGUACCUCUGCAAAGCCUGGGCCGGCGAGUGGAAGAAGCUGGCACCCCAGGUCAGGGCCAGGAGCAGCAGGUACUGCAGCACCCUCCUGCUGCGGCCGGCCAGCAUCGCGCUCUCCCAGGGCAGCCUCCUCCUGUGCCAGCAGCUUCCUCGUGGCCCAGAGGGGAGGACGCUUUUAUAGCCUGGGUUUCUGCCUCCCCGUGGGUUUCUCCUCCCCGCUGGCCGAGGGAGGGCUGGGGAUGCUGCAGGCAGCACGGUGCAGGUGGCUGGGGGGUGCCAGCGGUGGGUCCCACGGAGCUCCUGGAUCCCAGGGGCUGGCAAAGGGUUGUGAGCCCCAAACCCAUGCUGUCCGCAGCCCUGCUCGGUGCCAGCACCAACCCAUCGCUGGCACAGCACCUGCAGGGCACAGGCCAAGUCACGGAGUCACAGAAUUGUAG